RNAcentral lists this ribosomal RNA (844 nucleotides) under Phomopsis ipomoeae-batatas. Its description in RNAcentral is "eukaryotic LSU rRNA". It matches the Rfam family "Eukaryotic large subunit ribosomal RNA", at positions 66 to 940 of the family's 3401-position model. Lineage: Eukaryota; Fungi; Ascomycota; Sordariomycetes; Diaporthales; Diaporthaceae. The record is from RNAcentral.
CAACAGGGAUUGCCCCAGUAACGGCGAGUGAAGCGGCAACAGCUCAAAUUUGAAAUCUGGCCUCCCGGCCCGAGUUGUAAUUUGCAGAGGAUGCUUCUGGCGCGGUGCCUUCCGAGUUCCCUGGAACGGGACGCCACAGAGGGUGAGAGCCCCGUAUGGUCGGACACCAAGCCUGUGUGAAGCUCCUUCGACGAGUCGAGUAGUUUGGGAAUGCUGCUCUAAAUGGGAGGUAAAUCUCUUCUAAAGCUAAAUACCGGCCAGAGACCGAUAGCGCACAAGUAGAGUGAUCGAAAGAUGAAAAGCACCUUGAAAAGGGGGUUAAAUAGUACGUGAAAUUGUUGAAAGGGAAGCGCUUGUGACCAGACUUGCGCCGUGCGGCUCAUCAGGGGUUCUCCCCUGUGUACUCCGCGCGGCUCGGGCCAGCAUCGGUUCUCGUGGGGGGAUAAGACCGGCGGGAACGUAGCACCCCCCGGGGUGUGUUAUAGGCCGCCGGACGAUGCCCUCGUGGGGACCGAGGUUCGCGCUCCGCAAGGAUGCUGGCGUAAUGGUCACCAGCGACCCGUCUUGAAACACGGACCAAGGAGUCGUCCAUUAGAGCGAGCGUUUGGGUGUAAAACCCGCACGCGUAAUGAAAGUGAACGCAGGUGAGAGCUUCGGCGCAUCAUCGACCGAUCCUGAUGUUCUCGGAAGGAUUUGAGUAAGAGUUUUAACGGACGGACCCGAAAGACAGUGAACUAUGCUUGUAUAGGGUGAAGCCAGAGGAAACUCUGGUGGAGGCUCGCAGCGGUUCUGACGUGCAAAUCGAUCGUCAAAUAUGAGCAUGGGGGCGAAAGACUAAUCGAAC